This 250-nucleotide ribosomal RNA is filed under the name uncultured Actinomycetales bacterium. Its description in RNAcentral is "partial 16S ribosomal RNA". It matches the Rfam family "Bacterial small subunit ribosomal RNA", at positions 83 to 334 of the family's 1533-position model. The record is from RNAcentral. Lineage: Bacteria; Bacillati; Actinomycetota; Actinomycetes; Actinomycetales.
UGGGGUGCUCGAGUGGCGAACGGGUGAGUAACACGUGAGUAACCUGCCCUUGACUUUGGGAUAACUUCAGGAAACUGGGGCUAAUACCGGAUAGGAGCUCCUGCUGCAUGGUGGGGGUUUGAAAGUUUCGGCGGUUGGGGAUGGACUCGCGGCUUAUCAGCUUGUUGGUGGGGUAGUGGCUUACCAAGGCUUUGACGGGUAGCCGGCCUGAGAGGGUGACCGGCCACAUUGGGACUGAGAAACGGUCCAA